Molecule: non-coding RNA, 47 nt
Organism: Drosophila virilis
Lineage: Eukaryota; Metazoa; Arthropoda; Insecta; Diptera; Drosophilidae
Source: Rfam
UGCAAGCCAGUUGGGCGUGAAUCACGCUUGUCAUAGUUACUCUGAGA